This 468-nucleotide ribosomal RNA is filed under the name uncultured bacterium. Its description in RNAcentral is "partial 16S ribosomal RNA". It matches the Rfam family "Bacterial small subunit ribosomal RNA", at positions 28 to 507 of the family's 1533-position model. The record is from RNAcentral.
GACGAACGCUGGCGGCGUGCUUAACACAUGCAAGUCGAACGGAAAGGCCCUGCUUUUGUGGGGUUCUCGAUUGGCGAACGGGUGAGUAACACGUGAGUAACCUGCCCUUGACUUUGGGAUAACUUCAGGAAACUGGAGCUAAUACCGUAUAGGAGCUCCUGCUGCAUUGUAGGCGUUGGAAAGUUUCGGCUGUUGGGGAUGGACUCGCGGCUUAUCAGCUUGUUGGUGGGGUAGUGGCUUACCAAGGCUUUGACGGGUAGCCGGCCUGAGAGGGUGACCGGGCACAUUGGGACUGAGAUACGGCCCAGACUCCUACGGGAGGCAGCAGUGGGGAAUAUUGCACAAUGGGCGGAAGCCUGAUGCAGCAACGCCGCGUGCGGGAUGACGGCCUUCGGGUUGUAAACCGCUUUCGCCUGUGACGAAGCGUGAGUGACGGUAAUGGGUAAAGAAGCACCGGCUAACUACGUG